GGACGCGGCUCUCACCAGCCCAUCCAUGAAUCAGGACGUGGCCGUCUCCAGCCCAUCCACAAAUCAGGAUGCAGCCCUCACCAGACACUGAAACUACUUCUCCUUGAACUUGCACUUUCCAGCCUCCAGAACGGGGAGGAAGAACUGUCUGCUGUUUGUAAGCCACCCAGGCCGCAGUAUUCUGUGAUAGCAGCAGGAAUGAAUGGAUUGAGCCAGUGGCAUUGGCACAGUGGAAUGCUGUGGGGUUUUACUAGAAACAGAAAGAAGAGGGACGGGCCUGGACACGCAGACCUGCCAAGACGCUCACAUACUGAACCGUGAGAGGAGGCACGUCUGCUGCUUCAAGCCACUAAACUGGGGUAACUUGUUAUGGCGGUGACUGGAAACUGAGACAGGCCUCCUGGAGUGCGGAGCUAGACUUUCGGCCAGACCAACAGGUCCCUCUCAGGGGAUUUCAAUACUCGUGGAACCUGCCUUCCUUCAGGAGUUCUUACACCCGCGCCUGGGCUUGUUUAUUCCCUCAACAAACGCCUGCUAGGCGCGGACCCUGUGCUGGUGGGCAGGUGAUGGUGAGCGAGACCCACUCCAGGCUCCGGGACCUCAUGGAGUGGAGGAGCUGGGUAAACAGGAACCUCUGACAUCAGCAUCACUGUCCCCAUUUUGCAGAGGAGGAAGCCAGGACUCCAAGGGGCUGACUUCCCACAGCAAUGAGCUCUGAGCAGUGGAGCCAGGGUGCCUCCCAGCCCUGUGGCCAUAGGCCUGUCCCUCGUUCCCCAUGUGUAGGGGAGAUUGGCCAACGAUGAGCACUGAGGGUGCAGGGACAGCUCUAUGAGGGCUGCCCCAACUCUCCCUAUGCCUUUUCAAUGAUUAGACAAAUCCUUCCCGUGCUGUGACAGCUGCCUGUGGUGUUCAGUACAGUCACACGCCAUGCAGGCGUGCAGCCUGGGAGCAAGAGGCUUUGCCCUCUGCCCAGUGUACAGUGGCCAGACCAUCUAGGUGUGUAUAAGCACUCCAGGAUGUUCACACAAACAUGCGUUAACAUCGCGUUUCUCAGAAUGUAUCCCAUCAUUAAUACGUCUGUAACUGUACGUGUGUAUGCGUGUACUUGCUUAUACAUGAUGUUUGCAGAUGUUAUACAUAAAAUGUCAUAUCUGACACAUUAGAUCCUAUAUUACACACAUGCAUGCGUGUACUUUGUUACACAUGACGUUUGCAGAUGUUAUACAUACAUAAAAUGUCAUAAGAAAUCUAUUAGAUUCUGUAUUACACACGUGCACAUGAUAAACUCUAUAUAUUCCACGUAGCGCACCAUGCACACAUGUGGUGAGUGUCAAUUUUGUGCCAGCUUGACUGGGCUGGUAAAGUAUUUCUGGGGGGGUGUGUGUGAGAGCGCUUCUAGAAGAGUUUAGCAUUUGAAUCCAUAGUAUUAAAGAAGGCUGCCCUCAUCAGCACCAGGGUAGGCAGCG
This 1466-nucleotide long non-coding RNA is filed under the name Homo sapiens (human). RNAcentral's name for it is "HSALNT0068790". The record is from RNAcentral. Lineage: Eukaryota; Metazoa; Chordata; Mammalia; Primates; Hominidae.